ACCUAAGUGCCAGAGUGGUUUGAGAAUUGGACUGUGACUCUGGAGACCAGGGUUCAAGUCCCUGCCAUGGAA
This is a non-coding RNA of Phrynosoma platyrhinos (Desert horned lizard), 72 nucleotides long. NCBI's taxonomy places the organism in Eukaryota, Metazoa, Chordata, Lepidosauria, Squamata, Phrynosomatidae. The record is from the annotation of a GenBank genome assembly.